CCUACGGGAGGCAGCAGUGGGGAAUAUUGCACAAUGGGCGAAAGCCUGAUGCAGCAACGCCGCGUGAGUGAUGAAGGCCUUCGGGUUGUAAAGCUCUGUCUUUGGGGACGAUAAUGACGGUACCAAAGGAGGAAGCCACGGCUAACUACGUGCCAGCAGCCGCGGUAAUA
RNAcentral lists this ribosomal RNA (170 nucleotides) under uncultured Bacillota bacterium. RNAcentral describes it as "uncultured Firmicutes bacterium partial 16S ribosomal RNA". It matches the Rfam family "Bacterial small subunit ribosomal RNA", at positions 338 to 525 of the family's 1533-position model. Lineage: Bacteria; Bacillati; Bacillota. The record is from RNAcentral.